GUGUCAGCCGCCGCGGUAAGACAGAGGGUGCAAACGUUGUUCGGAAUUACUGGGCGUAAAGCGCGUGUAGGCGGUCGGGCAAGUCGGGUGUGAAAGCCCAGGGCUCAACCCUGGAAGUGCAUUCGAUACUGCCUGGCUAGAGUCCCGGAGAGGAUGGUGGAACUCUCGGUGUAGAGGUGAAAUUCGUAGAUAUCGAGAAGAACACCGGUGGCGAAGGCGGCCAUCUGGACGGUGACUGACGCUGAGACGCGAAAGCGUGGGGAGCAAACAGGAUUAGAAACCCCCGUAGUCC
This 292-nucleotide ribosomal RNA is filed under the name uncultured bacterium. RNAcentral describes it as "partial 16S ribosomal RNA". It matches the Rfam family "Bacterial small subunit ribosomal RNA", at positions 505 to 796 of the family's 1533-position model. The record is from RNAcentral.